Molecule: ribosomal RNA, 236 nt
Filed under: uncultured soil bacterium
Lineage: Bacteria
Description: partial 16S ribosomal RNA
Rfam family: Bacterial small subunit ribosomal RNA
Source: RNAcentral
AGAUUGAACGCUGGCGGCAUGCUUUACACAUGCAAGUCGAACGGUAACAGGCCGCAAGGUGCUGACGAGUGGCGAACGGGUGAGUAAUGCAUCGGAACGUGCCCAGUCGUGGGGGAUAACGCAGCGAAAGCUGUGCUAAUACCGCAUACGAUCUAUGGAUGAAAGCGGGGGACCGAAAGGCCUCGCGCGAUUGGAGCGGCCGGAUGUCAGAUUAGCUAGUUGGUGGGGUAAAGCCC